GCAAAGGUGAUCGUCGCAACCAGCAUUAACCCCAAGUUUGUUGGAGGUAACAUUCGGUGUGGCAAAGGUCGACUAUACCUGGAUGCUACUUCUGGGAUCUAUUUUUACUUUGACCAUGAGGUGGCCGCAAGCCAGAGACUAUUUCAAGAGUUGUAUUCAAAACCCGAGAAGGACGACACUACCAGUGCGAAGCAGUACCAUGGUGUAAAGAAGCUCGAAAAGGUUUCACUAGGAGAGUUGAACAACUAUAUUCUGGAGUCACCCCCGCAAGCCCUUGAGUUUCUAUGCAAAGCCAAGAUCGCAUCACUGGAAACUACAAACGGAUGGUGAUACAUCUCCUGUGCUAAAUGCAAGAAGCUCCAGCGAGGGAACUCUUCAUUCACAUGCCCUACAUGUUUUAAUGCCAGUGUUGUUGGAGUUGUCAGGUUCGGUUCACAUAUCUAUAUUAAACUUGCUCAUUAGAAACAGCCUUUUGUUAUUUGUGCCAACUAUUUGGAAAAAAAAAACACAAUCGCAAGGUAUCGUGUUGAGCUGCUGGUGGAGGCGGGUGAUGAUAAAUCUCUCUUUGUAGCAUUCGACUCAGCUAUGACUAAGCUAACAGGAAUCAGGGCUACAGAAGUUGUGAUGGAGUGAUUGAAGCUUCAAGUUAUGUACAAGCUCCAUCAAUUUGACAUAUCUUGAUUAAAACAAAACACAAAAUCGUAGAUUGGAUUAGUGAAAGUUUUAUCUUCACUUACCAUUGUUCCUUAGAUUUCUUAUACUAACUUUUUGUUUUUCAUAUGAAAGAAAGCUGAGAUCUCGCAUUUUAUGAA
Molecule: long non-coding RNA, 812 nt
Organism: Brassica oleracea var. oleracea
Lineage: Eukaryota; Viridiplantae; Streptophyta; Magnoliopsida; Brassicales; Brassicaceae
Exons: 4
Source: RefSeq, a predicted model, not a curated record